UAGAAAUCAUUUAAUCAUAAUUUCACACACAGAGACAGCCAAUCUAGUAUAGUCAUUAUACUAUUUUUACUAGUAUUUUUAAUCUAUUAUUUAUAAGAUUUGGUCUCUAUAUGUAGUUUUAGAUUUUAUUCUCCCACUGUUUUCACUUAAUGUUGUAAUAUAGAGAUUUUCUUACAUAAUAAAAAAUCUUCCAAAGUAUGAUUUUAAUUAUGAAAUAUUUUAUUAUGCAGACAUAGCACAAAUACCAAGAUUUAAAAUGUUUUACUUUAUAAACCAAAAGCAUAAAGG
RNAcentral lists this long non-coding RNA (288 nucleotides) under Homo sapiens (human). RNAcentral's name for it is "non-protein coding lnc-ATP6V0E2-8:1". Lineage: Eukaryota; Metazoa; Chordata; Mammalia; Primates; Hominidae. The record is from RNAcentral.